GCAGGCGUGGCGGAAUUGGCAGACGCGCUAGACUUAGGAUCUAGUGGGUAACUCCGUGAGAGUUCGAGUCUCUCCGCCUGCACCA
Molecule: transfer RNA, 85 nt
Filed under: Bacillota bacterium
Lineage: Bacteria; Bacillati; Bacillota
Description: Firmicutes bacterium (anaerobic digester metagenome) tRNA-Leu
Rfam family: tRNA
About the family: Transfer RNA (tRNA) molecules are approximately 80 nucleotides in length. Their secondary structure includes four short double-helical elements and three loops (D, anti-codon, and T loops).
Source: RNAcentral